UAAAAGGAUCAAAAGGAAGCAGCCACCGGGGGCAGGGGGUGGAUAAGAGAAGAAGGAUCUAAAGUAUGGGUCGAUCUUUGACUCUUGACCCUUUGAAAUGCAUUUGCUCUAACAUGCACAGCUUUCGGGCACCAUCGCCAGGCUCCUAGUGGUCUUCCUGCAAGCCCAUCUGUAUCAAUCUGUGGCCUGAUAAUUAAGCUCCAUGUACCUGAAGACGUUGGGGUCACGAAGAGUCGGGCACAACUAAGCAACAACAACCUGAAGAAGUGGAUUGCCAUUCAACUCAUACUGAAAUAAACCUGUUCAUCGUGAAGGUGCUACAAAUCUUUCGUUCUGUUUUCAUUAUUCCACUGAUGUUCUCAUUCCAUUCCUGUCUGUUGCCAAAUUCUCUAUCCUUACCCCAAGUGGAAAUGGAUGCAUU
Molecule: non-coding RNA, 421 nt
Organism: Pogona vitticeps (central bearded dragon)
Lineage: Eukaryota; Metazoa; Chordata; Lepidosauria; Squamata; Agamidae
Source: RefSeq, a predicted model, not a curated record